CCGUACGCCGUCAUAGAGUAGUUGAAAAACAUAAAGGGGUUCCGAAAGUACAAGUUGUUGCUGUGACUGACUCGAUGAUUGAGGGGGUCGUCUCGACGAAAGAUAGAGACAGUUGGCCAUAGUUUAGAUUAGGAAUACGUCAAUGUAAUAAUAGUGGACCAAAUGUUUCGUCCGUGCAGAAUGGCACUUUUUACCUCACGACCAUGCAUAGCUGCGCUACGUAAACAAUUUUACAAAGUUGUUGAUGUAGCGUGAUCGUGAUGUCCGACUCCGAGUACGAGUGCUGCGAGUUUCAAUACUGUUUAUGUAGUCAUUGAGAGUUUAAACAAAGUUUCUUCUGAGAAGAGAAAUUCGAUGGAUGCAUUCAACGUGGAUAACGAGAUUAUAAUUUCGUUUGUAUCAUCCUAAGGACAAGUGCAAGUUGAAAUGGAUUUCGAGUCAACAACUUCAACAGCAAUUUGCCUUGAAAAUCAGCAAGAAAGGUACUUCAUUUACAUUGAUGAUGUCAUAUCCCCUGAACCCCACAACUUUACAGGUUACAGAGAAAAUUCAAGAACUUCUGCACAAUGUGGGACUCCGAUAGAAUCAAUAAUGUAUUUGUGAGCCCAGAUAUAUUGUGCAACAUACUAAAGUGUGAAUUUAGUUGAAAACAAGUACAUGUACUCAUGUAUACUAUUAUAUGUCUUUCUUAAAGACAAUAAUAUUGCAUAAAUGUAGAUGAAGUGUCAUUGUUGAUUAUUCUAAGUUUUUGAUAUAUCAAAAUCAGUAAACAUUUCUAAAUGAAAAUAAAAUACCAAUUUUUAAAC
This is a long non-coding RNA of Ostrea edulis (European flat oyster), 806 nucleotides long. RefSeq lists it as uncharacterized. The record is from RefSeq and is a predicted model, not a curated record. The transcript is spliced from 3 exons. Lineage: Eukaryota; Metazoa; Mollusca; Bivalvia; Ostreida; Ostreidae.